CAAUAGCGUAUAUUAAAGUUGUUGCGGUUAAAACGCUCGUAGUCGGAUUUCGGGGCGGGUCCGCCGGUCUGCCGAUGGGUACGCACUGGCGGGCGCGUCCUUCCUUCCGGAGACUGGCCCUACUCUUAGCUGAGCGGGGUCGGGAGUCGGAUCGUUUACUUUGAAAAAAUCAGAGUGUUUCAAGCAGGCAGCUCGCUCUUGCAUGGAUUAGCAUGGGAUAAUGAAAUAGGACUUUGGUGCUAUUUUGUUGGUUUCGAACACCGAAGUAAUGAUUAACAGGGACAGUCAGGGGCACUCGUAUUCCGCCGAGAGAGGUGAAAUUCUCAGACCAGCGGAAGACGAACCACUGCGAAAGCAUUUGCCAGGGAUGUUUUCACUG
RNAcentral lists this ribosomal RNA (379 nucleotides) under uncultured eukaryote. Its description in RNAcentral is "partial 18S ribosomal RNA". It matches the Rfam family "Eukaryotic small subunit ribosomal RNA", at positions 592 to 975 of the family's 1831-position model. The record is from RNAcentral.